GCCUGCCCAGUGACCCUGUUCAACGGCCGCGGUAUCCUAACCGUGCGAAGGUAGCGUAAUCACUUGUUCUUUAAAUGUGGACUAGUAUGAAUGGCAUCACGAAGGUUAUACUGUCUCCUUUUUCUAAUCAGUGAAACUAAUCUCCCCGUGAAGAAGCGAGGAUAAAAAUAUAAGACGAGAAGACCCUAUGGAGCUUUAAACAAAAUAGCACUCGCCACUUGAAUAAAGAAUUUCAGAAUCAUUAUUUACCCCAAGCGACCUGACUAUAUGUUUUUGGUUGGGGUGACCGCGGAGCAUAACACAACCUCCAUGUUGAAAGAAAGUUUUCUAAACUAAGAACCACACCUCUAAGUAUCAAAAAAUUGACAUCCAUUGACCCAAUAAAUUUGAACAACGAACCAAGUUACCCUAGGGAUAACAGCGCAAUCCACUUCAAGAGCCCCUAUCGACAGGUGGGUUUACGACCUCGAUGUUGGAUCAGGGUCUCCCAGUGGUGCAGCCGCUACUAAAGGUUCGUUUGUUCAACGAUUAAAACCCUACGUGAUCUG
RNAcentral lists this ribosomal RNA (548 nucleotides) under Duttaphrynus melanostictus (Asian common toad). RNAcentral's name for it is "partial 16S ribosomal RNA". It matches the Rfam family "Bacterial large subunit ribosomal RNA", at positions 1857 to 2607 of the family's 2925-position model. Lineage: Eukaryota; Metazoa; Chordata; Amphibia; Anura; Bufonidae. The record is from RNAcentral.